This 580-nucleotide long non-coding RNA is filed under the name Phaseolus vulgaris (common bean). Its description in RNAcentral is "long non-coding RNA (PVUL_LNC002455)". The record is from RNAcentral. Lineage: Eukaryota; Viridiplantae; Streptophyta; Magnoliopsida; Fabales; Fabaceae.
AAUUAUAGUUCUAGUAUCAUAAUGUUUUAUUUAUGUACAAAUCACAUCAAUUACUAUUUGUACUUUGUGUUGUAAAUAGACAUGAACCUUUUUUUUUAUUUGACCAAAAGACAAGGCUUCUGUAUAGAGGUUCUUCUGUAUAGAGGUUCUUCUGUAUAGAGGUUCUUCUGUAUAGAGGUUCUUCUGUAUAGAGGUUCUUCUGUAUAGAGGUUCUUCUGUAUAGAGGUUCUUCUGUAUAGAGGUUCUUCUGUAUAGAGGUUCUUCUGUAUAGAGGUUCUUCUGUAUAGAGGUUCUUCUUCUGUAUAGAGGUUCUUCUUCUGUAUAGAGGUUCUUCUUCUGUUCUAGAGGUUUCUCUUCUGUAUAGAGGUUCUUCUUCUGUAUAGAGGUUCUUCUUCUGUAUAGAGGUUCUUCUUCUGUAUAGAGGUUCUUCUUCUGUAUAGAGGUUCUUCUUCUGUAUACAGGUUCUUCUUCUGUAUACAGGUUCUUCUUCUGUAUACAGGUUCUUCUUCUGUAUACAGGUUCUUCUUUAUCAUAAGAGUCUAUUUUUACAAAUCAAUUGAAUAUUUUAUUGAAUUGAUUG